CCUAAUCAAGAUAUUGGAAGAGCAGCAGAGUCAAGGUAUAAUUCCACUGAAAAAGAAUCUGAUACUAGAUCUUUUCCGAAGAACAAGAAUCUGGGUAAUGAGGAUGUGACACUAUCUUAUUCGCAAGAGGCUGCAAAUAAUAAUCCUGGGCCUGUGACUGGCCCAGCUCGAAUAAAUGAUGUAUUCUGGGAACAAUUCCUUACUGAAAGACCUGGUUCUUCAGAUAAUGAAGAGGCAAGUUCUUGUUAUAGGGCAAAUCCACAGGAAGAGCAAGAAGAUAGAAGGCCGGGCCAAGGAAUAUCCAGAAAUACUAAGAAUAUAGAACAGCUUACUCUUUGAGCACCGAAGUCAAUAAACCCUGUGGAAGUUUGCAAAAGGAAUGUUUACAGUUUCCCAUGUGCCAUGGUUCUGAAGAUUGCAAUGAUUGCGUGGCCUUAAUUAAUUCUGUGAUUGUCUUCAGAUCCAGCUGUUGGUCUUCCUGAUGUACAUAUUUCUUGUAUUAGAAAUUCUAAUUGAGUUUCUGACUUGAAGUCCAUAUUAAGAUGUCAAACCAUUCUUCCUGAAUAAUUCUUCUAUAUAUGCUACACUGUUUCUGUUACCA
Molecule: long non-coding RNA, 601 nt
Organism: Mangifera indica (mango)
Lineage: Eukaryota; Viridiplantae; Streptophyta; Magnoliopsida; Sapindales; Anacardiaceae
Exons: 2
Source: RefSeq, a predicted model, not a curated record